RNAcentral lists this transfer RNA (67 nucleotides) under Podarcis bocagei. Its description in RNAcentral is "tRNA-Met". RNAcentral also lists the same sequence under 1 other name. The record is from RNAcentral. Lineage: Eukaryota; Metazoa; Chordata; Lepidosauria; Squamata; Lacertidae.
GUAAAGUCAGCUAAUAAAGCUCUUGGGCCCAUACCCCAAAAAUGUUGGUGAAACCCCUCCUUUACUA